GUGCUCACAACACAAUGGAAGUAUGUCUUUUCACUUUGCUCUAAUCAGCAUUUUGCUAAGUGAAUUCACAUGCUUCGAUUGUUUUGUUUGGAGCAUC
Molecule: microRNA precursor, 97 nt
Filed under: Caenorhabditis remanei
Lineage: Eukaryota; Metazoa; Nematoda; Chromadorea; Rhabditida; Rhabditidae
Source: RNAcentral